GGGUUGUGAGGUUAAGCGACUAAGCGUACACGGUGGAUGCCCUGGCAGUCAGAGGCGAUGAAGGACGUGCUAAUCUGCGAAAAGCGUCGGUAAGGUGAUAUGAACCGUUAUAGCCGGCGAUGUCCGAAUGGGGAAACCCAGUGCAAUUCGUUGCACUAUCGUUAACUGAAUACAUAGGUUAACGAGGCGAACCGGGGGAACUGAAACAUCUAAGUACCCCGAGGAAAAGAAAUCAACCGAGAUUCCCCCAGUAGCGGCGAGCGAACGGGGAGCAGCCCAGAGUCUGAAUCAGCUUGUGUGUUAGUGGAACGGUCUGGAAAGUCCGACGGUACAGGGUGAUAGUCCCGUACACCAAAAUGCACAGGUUGUGAACUCGAAGAGUAGGGCGGGACACGUGGUAUCCUGUCUGAAUAUGGGGGGACCAUCCUCCAAGGCUAAAUACUCCUGACUGACCGAUAGUGAACCAGUACCGUGAGGGAAAGGCGAAAAGAACCCCGGCGAGGGGAGUGAAAAAGAACCUGAAACCGUGUACGUACAAGCAGUGGGAGCACCUUCGGGUGUGACUGCGUACCUUUUGUAUAAUGGGUCAGCGACUUAUAUUCUGUAGCAAGGUUAACCGUAUAGGGGAGCCGCAGGGAAACCGAGUCUUAACUGGGCGUUAAGUUGCAGGGUAUAGACCCGAAACCCGGUGAUCUAGCCAUGGGCAGGUUGAAGGUUGGGUAACACUAACUGGAGGACCGAACCGACUAAUGUUGAAAAAUUAGCGGAUGACUUGUGGCUGGGGGUGAAAGGCCAAUCAAACCGGGAGAUAGCUGGUUCUCCCCGAAAGCUAUUUAGGUAGCGCCUCGUGAAUUCAUCUUCGGGGGUAGAGCACUGUUUCGGCUAGGGGGUCAUCCCGACUUACCAACCCGAUGCAAACUACGAAUACCGAAGAAUGUUAUCACGGGAGACACACGGCGGGUGCUAACGUCCGUCGUGAAGAGGGAAACAACCCAGACCGCCAGCUAAGGUCCCAAAGUCAUGGUUAAGUGGGAAACGAUGUGGGAAGGCACAGACAGCCAGGAUGUUGGCUUAGAAGCAGCCAUCAUUUAAAGAAAGCGUAAUAGCUCACUGGUCGAGUCGGCCUGCGCGGAAGAUGUAACGGGGCUAAACCAUGCACCGAAGCUGCGGCAGCGACACUAUGUGUUGUUGGGUAGGGGAGCGUUCUGUAAGCCUGCGAAGGUGACCUGUGAGGGUUGCUGGAGGUAUCAGAAGUGCGAAUGCUGACAUAAGUAACGAUAAAGCGGGUGAAAAGCCCGCUCGCCGGAAGACCAAGGGUUCCUGUCCAACGUUAAUCGGGGCAGGGUGAGUCGACCCCUAAGGCGAGGCCGAAAGGCGUAGUCGAUGGGAAACAGGUUAAUAUUCCUGUACUUGGUGUUACUGCGAAGGGGGGACGGAGAAGGCUAUGUUAGCCGGGCGACGGUUGUCCCGGUUUAAGCAUGUAGGCUGGUUAUCCAGGCAAAUCCGGAUAAUCAAGGCUGAGGUGUGAUGACGAGGCACUACGGUGCUGAAGUAACAAAUGCCCUGCUUCCAGGAAAAGCCUCUAAGCAUCAGGUAACAUCAAAUCGUACCCCAAACCGACACAGGUGGUCAGGUAGAGAAUACCAAGGCGCUUGAGAGAACUCGGGUGAAGGAACUAGGCAAAAUGGUGCCGUAACUUCGGGAGAAGGCACGCUGGUGUGUAGGUGAAGUCCCUGCGGAUGGAGCUGAGACCAGUCGAAGAUACCAGCUGGCUGCAACUGUUUAUUAAAAACACAGCACUGUGCAAACACGAAAGUGGACGUAUACGGUGUGACGCCUGCCCGGUGCCGGAAGGUUAAUUGAUGGGGUUAUCCGUAAGGAGAAGCUCUUGAUCGAAGCCCCGGUAAACGGCGGCCGUAACUAUAACGGUCCUAAGGUAGCGAAAUUCCUUGUCGGGUAAGUUCCGACCUGCACGAAUGGCGUAAUGAUGGCCAGGCUGUCUCCACCCGAGACUCAGUGAAAUUGAACUCGCUGUGAAGAUGCAGUGUACCCGCGGCAAGACGGAAAGACCCCGUGAACCUUUACUAUAGCUUGACACUGAACAUUGAGCCUUGAUGUGUAGGAUAGGUGGGAGGCUUUGAAGCGUGGACGCCAGUCUGCGUGGAGCCAACCUUGAAAUACCACCCUUUAAUGUUUGAUGUUCUAACGUUGGCCCCUGACCGGGGUUGCGGACAGUGUCUGGUGGGUAGUUUGACUGGGGCGGUCUCCUCCCAAAGCGUAACGGAGGAGCACGAAGGUUAGCUAAUCCUGGUCGGACAUCAGGAGGUUAGUGCAAUGGCAUAAGCUAGCUUGACUGCGAGCGUGACGGCGCGAGCAGGUGCGAAAGCAGGUCAUAGUGAUCCGGUGGUUCUGAAUGGAAGGGCCAUCGCUCAACGGAUAAAAGGUACUCCGGGGAUAACAGGCUGAUACCGCCCAAGAGUUCAUAUCGACGGCGGUGUUUGGCACCUCGAUGUCGGCUCAUCACAUCCUGGGGCUGAAGUAGGUCCCAAGGGUAUGGCUGUUCGCCAUUUAAAGUGGUACGCGAGCUGGGUUUAGAACGUCGUGAGACAGUUCGGUCCCUAUCUGCCGUGGGCGCUGGAGAAUUGAGGGGGGCUGCUCCUAGUACGAGAGGACCGGAGUGGACGCAUCACUGGUGUUCGGGUUGUCAUGCCAAUGGCACUGCCCGGUAGCUAAAUGCGGAAGAGAUAAGUGCUGAAAGCAUCUAAGCACGAAACUUGCCCCGAGAUGAGUUCUCCCUGAGACUUUAAGUCUCCUGAAGGAACGUUAAAGACGAUGACGUUGAUAGGCCGGGUGUGUAAGCGCAGCGAUGCGUUGAGCUAACCGGUACUAAUGAACCGUGAGGCUUAACCUUACAACGCCGAAG
This 2923-nucleotide ribosomal RNA is filed under the name Klebsiella pneumoniae. RNAcentral describes it as "bacterial LSU rRNA". It matches the Rfam family "Bacterial large subunit ribosomal RNA". Lineage: Bacteria; Pseudomonadati; Pseudomonadota; Gammaproteobacteria; Enterobacterales; Enterobacteriaceae. The record is from RNAcentral.